ACCACAUUGUGAUUCAUGACUGGGGUGAAGUCGUAACAAGGUAACCGUAGGGGAACCUGCGGUUGGAUCACCUCCUUACCUUAAAGAA
This 88-nucleotide ribosomal RNA is filed under the name Salmonella enterica subsp. enterica serovar Anatum. Its description in RNAcentral is "partial 16S ribosomal RNA". The stretch from base 1 to 78 matches the Rfam family "Bacterial small subunit ribosomal RNA", at positions 1456 to 1533 of the family's 1533-position model. The record is from RNAcentral. Lineage: Bacteria; Pseudomonadati; Pseudomonadota; Gammaproteobacteria; Enterobacterales; Enterobacteriaceae.